UCCAUCUACUGUCUGGAGACGUCUGGCCAGAAGUGGUCUUAAUGGAAGAAUUGUGGCCAAAAAGCCAUACCUCCGAUGUGAAAACAAGGCCAAGAGACUCAACUAUGCACAAAAACACAGGAACUGGGGUGCAGACAAAUGGCAGCAGGUUCUCUGGACUGAUGAGUCAAAAUGUGAAAAAUG
This is a long non-coding RNA of Nanorana parkeri, 183 nucleotides long. RefSeq lists it as uncharacterized. The transcript is spliced from 3 exons. NCBI's taxonomy places the organism in Eukaryota, Metazoa, Chordata, Amphibia, Anura, Dicroglossidae. The record is from RefSeq and is a predicted model, not a curated record.